GAUGAACGCUGGCGGCGUGCUUAACACAUGCAAGUCGAACGGAAAGGCUCCUGCUUGCAGGGGUACUCGAGUGGCGAACGGGUGAGUAACACGUGGGUGAUCUGCCCUGCACUUCGGGAUAAGCCUGGGAAACUGGGUCUAAUACCGGAUAGGACCACAUUUUGGAUGGUGUGGUGGAAAGUUUUUCGGUGUGGGAUGAGCUGGCGGCCUAUCAGCUUGUUGGUGGGGUAAUGGCCUACCAAGGCGUCGACGGGUAGCCGGCCUGAGAGGGUGUACGGCCACAUUGGGACUGAGAUACGGAGCAGACGCCUACGGGAGGCAGCAGUGGGGAAUAUUGCACAAUGGGCGCAAGCCUGAUGCAGAGACGCCGGGUGGGGGAUGACGGCCUUCGGGGUGUAAACGCCUUUCGCUAGGGACGAAGCGGAAGUGACGGUACCUGGAGAAGAAGCACCGGCUAACUACGUG
RNAcentral lists this ribosomal RNA (465 nucleotides) under uncultured bacterium. RNAcentral's name for it is "partial 16S ribosomal RNA". It matches the Rfam family "Bacterial small subunit ribosomal RNA", at positions 28 to 507 of the family's 1533-position model. The record is from RNAcentral.